GACGACUCAUUUUAUUAUUUCUCUAGAUGCUUGAUAUAUCCAUCACAAAUACUUCUUUUGUAUUGUUCAAAAUUUGGCUUGUUAAUAUAAAAUAGCUACUCUGUUAAUUUGCAAGUGCAGUGGAAGCUGUGACUGACGUACAGCAAGUUGUGUAUUUCGUUACCUGAGAGGGAAGGGAGGAGAGGAGGAGGCAGAUAGACAAGAGAAAAAGCAAAGAAGUUAUUGAUGUAACCGAUUUUUUUUUUUUAAAGAUAUGAUGAAAGAGCCUAAUCAGGAAAAAAGACAAUUGAAAGACUGGAAUCCACACUAGUUGUUUCACCAGCUUCCCUGCCCUCCCAGUUAGACUCUCAAGUAAGUGGGCCUGUGAUGACCACAGGAAGAGAGCACGUCACAAGGAGGUGCUGCAGGGAGAGGAGGAGCCUGAGAGGAAAAGCCUCUGCUCUCUUUCUCCCUGAGCCAGCCAUGUGCUUUGGUCUCCUGUGCUGUGUGGCUCUUUUCAUCUGGGGAGCAGGCUCCAUGGACACUGAGGUCAUCCAGAGUCCAGGUCAUCUGGUCAAAGGAAAAGACCAGAAAGCAAAGAUGGAUUGUGUCCCCAUAAGAGGACAUAUUCAUGUUUACUGGUAUCGCAGGAAGCUGGAAGAAGCAUUCGAGUUCUUGGUUUACUUUCAGAAGCAAGACAUUGUGGAAGGCACAGAAGUGUUCAAAGAGCGAUUUUCAGCGCAGUGCCCUCAAAACUCACCCUGCAGCCUGGAAAUCAACUCCACCGAGGCAGCGGACUCGGCUCUGUAUUUCUGUGCCAGCAGCCAGUCCACAGUGCUGCACGUCAGCUCUUCUUCGAACACAAACUCACCAUGGACCCAGCUCAGGAAAUCACUGGUGUCGUAGGAGGGUAGGAACUAACGGAAACCCACCUUGAAAGAGCAUAAAGCAGAAGGAAAAAUCU
Non-coding RNA from Bubalus bubalis (water buffalo), 943 nucleotides. The record is from the annotation of a RefSeq genome assembly. NCBI's taxonomy places the organism in Eukaryota, Metazoa, Chordata, Mammalia, Artiodactyla, Bovidae.